AAAAGGAUGAUCGGAUCCUUCAAUUCAAGAUCGGAGUUAUUGAUCUUUAUGUAGGUAGUGAAUAGAAUUUUCUAUCAAAAAUUCAACAAAUUCUGAUUCUUUUACACCGUUAAACUAGCAAGUAUCCCAUAUCGGCCAUUAAAUAUUGUCAAAUUUGUGACCUCUUGAUCGUAAGGUAAAUGAUGUCGAAAAAUUAUAAAAUUUGAUUUCUAAAAGUUUUAAAUGCUGUAAAUAACGUUUAACAGUAUGGAUCGUCGAUUCAGAAGCUCUAUCAUCGAAAAUAAUUUAUGAGUACNACUUAGCUAGAAAUGUGAAUCAACUAGAAUUCGAACCUGAGAUCUCGGAUAUCAACCAUCAAACCUUUUACCAUUUGCUCUAGGGACGGUCGGUGAGUCAAUUUCUUUUCAUACCAUAAUUUUCAGUAUAGCACUGC
This 433-nucleotide long non-coding RNA is filed under the name Ananas comosus (pineapple). Its description in RNAcentral is "long non-coding RNA (ACOM_LNC028359)". The record is from RNAcentral. Lineage: Eukaryota; Viridiplantae; Streptophyta; Magnoliopsida; Poales; Bromeliaceae.